AAUUAAACAAUGAAGGUGCCAUAUUUCUUUAAGUAUGCACAAUUUCCACUUUGAGCAUGCUCAGAAGAAUCUAAGAUGGUGGCACUCAAGCUGCUUAGCUCACUGAGACUCAGCCACUAAAACAAAUGUUCAGGACAAGCUUAUCCCGGGCAAGCUCCCAGCUGGAGUCAUAAGGCAGCUGCAUGGGGUCCACAUAGAUAUAUUCAUGUCCAUCAGAGCUGACAGACUCAAUCACCUUCCAGCGGAUUUCAUAGCGAGGCUUCUGGACAGGGAGAAAAGAAGAUGUUAAAGAAGGGCUGUGCUGUGCCUGUUGCAGCAUGGCUACAGGAUGGGAGAAAUCUGGGACGUGUUCUCCACAUGGUCAGCAAAAGGCAUCUCCUGCCCACCCACCCCACAUCCUCCAUAUCAAGGUCUCUCUCCAAAAGGAUGUUUGCUGCCUCCCUAGGAAGGAGGGCUAACCAACUUGAAGACAGAGCAAUUACGACCCACUGAACAAUGAUGUGCCUUUAUUGUCCCACUGCAACCAGUAGGGCUUGAGUGAGCAUAGUAGUUCUGGACUGUGACAUCCCCCACUCCAAUCCACCAGAGGAGCAGAAAUUUGAAAGCAGUUAAACUUCCUAUGAAAGAUUUCACACUAUCAAAAUAGGAUACUUUGCCACUUUUGGAAAAUGUUCUUUCUUUCCCCACCACCACCACCCCUGCUUCUUCUUCUUCUUCUUUUUUUUUGCCCCACAAGCCUCACCUUUUUGCUAACUUAUUUAUUUAUUUAUGAGGCAAAUUUGCUAAGGGUGGGUGGAGGAAAUUAUUUUAGAUUCUGGAAAAGAUCUUGGAUGUUUUCAGAUUAGUCCAAAUAGCUUUUAACAUUAGUUUUGUAUUAGCUAGGAGUUGAUGUCCCAGAACUGGGGACUUUUCUGCAUCAAUGAAUUUUAUAUAAAUCAUG
Long non-coding RNA from Hemicordylus capensis (graceful crag lizard), 940 nucleotides. RefSeq lists it as uncharacterized. The record is from RefSeq and is a predicted model, not a curated record. NCBI's taxonomy places the organism in Eukaryota, Metazoa, Chordata, Lepidosauria, Squamata, Cordylidae. The transcript has 2 exons.